Podarcis lilfordi (Lilford's wall lizard) is the source of this 73-nucleotide non-coding RNA. The record is from the annotation of a GenBank genome assembly. Lineage: Eukaryota; Metazoa; Chordata; Lepidosauria; Squamata; Lacertidae.
GGCAUUCUAGCUCUGGGGGAGAGUUAGUUGCUUUGCAAGCAGAAGGUCCCGGGUUCAAAUCCUGGCACCGUCU